Molecule: long non-coding RNA, 219 nt
Filed under: Elaeis guineensis (African oil palm)
Lineage: Eukaryota; Viridiplantae; Streptophyta; Magnoliopsida; Arecales; Arecaceae
Description: long non-coding RNA (EGUI_LNC058092)
Source: RNAcentral
GUAGGAGUCCGGGCGGAGUCUACUUGCGGUUGAAGUUGUCAGCGGAGUCCGGCUCCCGUAAGAGUCCGGAUGAAGUCUGUCUGCAGCCGUUGGAGUCGAGGACAAAGUCCGGCUCCCGUAGGAGUCCGGGCGGAGUCUUCCUGCAAUUAAAGUCAAAGGCGAAGUCCGGCUCCCGUAGGAGUCCGGACAAGGCUUACCGGCAGUUGAUGUUGAGGAUGG